Non-coding RNA from Rattus norvegicus (Norway rat), 71 nucleotides. Lineage: Eukaryota; Metazoa; Chordata; Mammalia; Rodentia; Muridae. The record is from Rfam.
GCAGAUGGCUCAGUGGUUAAGAGCACUGGCUGCUCUUCCAGAGGUCCUGAGUUCAAUUUCCAGCACCUGCA